AUGGGGAAACAAAGAGAUGGCGAUGGAGAGACCAAAGACAAGAAAAAGAGAGCAUCAUGGACCACUGCUCAACUAGACCUGCUCGUUUCUGUGAUGAAAGAGUAUGCAGAUGCAGCUAGAUUUCGUGGUCAGAAUGGAUGGACGAAAGAAGGAUGGAAUUCCAUGACUACACGAUUGAAUAAUCAGUUUCCAAGAGCUAAUUUCAUUGUUUGUCAACUAAAAUUUAGAGAGCAGCGGUUGAAGAGAGAAUAUUUUGUUGUCAAAUCUAUUGUAGAGAAGAGUGGCUUCGGUUUUGAUCCUAAUACAAAAAUGCCAACAACCAUUGAUGAAAAAUGGGAUGAAUUGAGCAAAGAACAACAAAAGUGGAAGCUUUCCCUUACUAUGAUGACUUGCAUGCAAUUUAUGAUGGUAAAACAGCCGAGGGGAAGGGCUAUAAGAGGACAACUGAUGUGGUUGAAGAGAAGUCCAGUCCGGCUACAGAUUUACCACAAGGGGAAAGCUUCACACAACAAGUUCUAG
This 519-nucleotide ribosomal RNA is filed under the name Triticum aestivum (bread wheat). Its description in RNAcentral is "partial small subunit ribosomal RNA". Lineage: Eukaryota; Viridiplantae; Streptophyta; Magnoliopsida; Poales; Poaceae. The record is from RNAcentral.